AGUGAAGCGGCUCGCGCGGGCCCGGCCGGCAGCCGCUCCCCAGACACCGGGGAUCCGGCCCGACUGUUUCCUACCCACGACGGCGAAGACCCGCUACAGCGCGUCCACGAAGCCCCAGUACUGAGCCAGGACGGGGCUCUCCCUCUCGAUGUAGGCGACUACGAACUGCUCCGCCAGCCGGUGAGGCAGCUAAUUAAGAAAGCCACCUUCAGGAUGUCUUUCGAGAAUCUAGCCUCGAAGAAAGUCAUGUAAGAGAACGCCUGCAUCAAAAAGUCGGGAGGCCGGGCGGAGUCGCCGUUAAACGUCCAGGGAAAGCCACCAGGUGGGCCGGCGAACGCUCCCGGGCCAGCAGGUAGGCUUUCUCGCACAGCAGCCCCCGCACCCGGUCCGUAAGCUCGUUGUUCUCCCUGCGCCGGGCAUGGUUCUAGGUCAGGAGGUCCUACAUCAUGACAGCCAACGCGUCCAUCCUGCGCCUCCCCGCAGGCCUUGCUCCCCGCUCGGUCCCUCCCGGCCGCGGCGCUGCCGGAAGUGCGUGUCGGCGCGGGGGCGGAUCCCGGUGGCGGCGAGGGGCGGACUCCGCGGACAAGGCCAGGCCUAGCCUUGAGCUCCGUCGGGCAGGGCCGCCGGGAUUGGUGUCCGGCAGAGCGUGAGCCCAGCGGGCUGGAGUCGGCGAGCGGGAGUGAAAGAAGAAAAGCUAGAGAGCGAAGGCAAAGCCCGAGGAGAGAGGGCCGCGGUCGGCGGAGGAAUCUGACUGCACGGUUGCGUGCGCUCACUCCCGGAGGGCUCCCUCAGGCGGGCGGCUCCGCUAGUGGCUAAAGGCAAAGCAUUCCGGGGCGCGGCGCAUGAAGUUGAGCUUCGUCCCUGCUAGCCGCCGCUUUCUCCCCAAAAAUACAUCCUAGCCUUAAUGUUUAUGCCUCCAUUGCCCCAGUUCUUAUCUGUUUUGCUCAAUGUCUCAUAGCUACAAGAAGGCAAUUUCUGACGAAGCCCUCCGUCCCUUCCAAAUGGAUUAUUUUGGCGGGCUUCCACCCGGACAGUAUGCCACCCGAAUGACUGGACAAGUGCACGGGAGCGGCUGUCAUUUGCGGAGUGCGCCUUGCGAUCUAGGCGCCUCACAGCGCAAAUUAUCCAGUAAUUUCUCUGAAAUCGAUGCUGGUUUGUUUUCCCAAGGCAAAUCAGCAGCUUAUACAGACAUUGGGGCCACAAAGCCGGUGGAACAACGGGAGACGGCUUCCUGAGUGUCAGGUCCUCCAAGAUGAGCUUAAACUUCGGGUGGUGGGCAGGCUCGGUAGGCGGGAAAGGCCCGUGUCCAGAUGAAUGCAGUCCAUGUUUAUAUUGAUGAAAGACACGUAUACCAUUUGGUCCAGCUCAACCAUUCUUAACAAGUGCUGGCUGUGAGCACUGGUGUGUGUGUGCCUGCGUGCAACCAGCAAUGUAAGUGAUGACCAGCUGCAUGAUGCCUUAAUUUGAGUGGACAAAGUCGGUCAAGAACCACUUUCAGGCUUCUGGGUCUCCAAGUCUUUGUCUCCCUGUAUCCAAACGAGGCAUUCCAAGUUUGACAGCAUGGAACAUUGCAUGUCCGAAAUACCAACCGUGAAACUGGGUAAAAAGCUUCAGGAGGUGAUAUUGAUGUGUAUAGUUUAGGAAAUAAAACCCAAUACUUACUUCAAAGAACGUAAUUUGUGGCUUUUUAGAGAGAAGGAUACUUUGACAGUUUUCAUUUGUCGUCUACAUGUAUAUGGUACGUUUCAUUCUGCCUUUUAAUUAAUUUGGUAUUUUACUAUGAAAACUACUUUGUAUUAAUAAAAUAAUGUAUUUCCAAUGUUAUAAGUUGUGUUAUAACAGUUUCAAAAGCCAAAUAAACAAGAUGCAUUUUGA
This 1875-nucleotide long non-coding RNA is filed under the name Homo sapiens (human). RNAcentral's name for it is "long intergenic non-protein coding RNA 526". Lineage: Eukaryota; Metazoa; Chordata; Mammalia; Primates; Hominidae. The record is from RNAcentral.